GUAGGUGGCAAGCGUUGUCCGGAAUUAUUGGGCGUAAAGCGCGCGCGGGCGGUUCUUUAAGUCUGAUGUGAAAGCCCACGGCUCAACCGUGGAGGGUCAUUGGAAACUGGAGAACUUGAGUACAGAAGAGGAAAGCGGAAUUCCACGUGUAGCGGUGAAAUGCGUAGAGAUGUGGAGGAACACCAGUGGCGAAGGCGGCUUUCUGGUCUGUAACUGACGCUGAGGCGCGAGAGCGUGGGGAGCAAACAGGAUUAGAUACCCUGGUAGUCCACGCCGUAAACGAUGAGUGCUAAGUGUUAGGGGGUUUCCGCCCCCUUAGUGCUGCAGCUAACGCAUUAAGCACUCCGCCUGGGAGUAUGGCCGCAAGGCUG
RNAcentral lists this ribosomal RNA (371 nucleotides) under uncultured organism. RNAcentral describes it as "partial 16S ribosomal RNA". It matches the Rfam family "Bacterial small subunit ribosomal RNA", at positions 527 to 896 of the family's 1533-position model. The record is from RNAcentral.